Molecule: ribosomal RNA, 515 nt
Filed under: uncultured bacterium
Lineage: Bacteria
Description: partial 16S ribosomal RNA
Source: RNAcentral
GGAGUUAGCCGGUGCUUCUUCUGUGAGUGAUGUCCUUCCUGCCGGCUAUUAACCCGCAGGCCUUCUUCCUCACUGAAAGUGCUUUACAACCCGAAGGCCUUCUUCACACACGCGGCAUGGCUGGAUCAGGGUUGCCCCCAUUGUCCAAUAUUCCCCACUGCUGCCUCCCGUAGGAGUCUGGGCCGUGUCUCAGUCCCAGUGUGGCUGAUCAUCCUCUCAGACCAGCUACGGAUCGUCGCCUUGGUGAGCCGUUACCUCACCAACCAGCUAAUCCGACAUAGGCUCAUCCGAUAGCGCGAGGCCCGAAGGUCCCCCGCUUUCCCCCGUAGGGCGUAUGCGGUAUUAGCCUGGGUUUCCCCCAGGUUAUCCCCCACUACCGGGCAGAUUCCUAUGCAUUACUCACCCGUCCGCCGCUCGCCACCAGGGAGCAAGCUCCCCGUGCUGCCGCUCGACUUGCAUGUGUUAGGCGUCGCCGCCACGCGUUCAUCUGAGCCACGAACUACGAACCCGUACGA